This is a long non-coding RNA of Cavia porcellus (domestic guinea pig), 7023 nucleotides long. RefSeq lists it as uncharacterized. NCBI's taxonomy places the organism in Eukaryota, Metazoa, Chordata, Mammalia, Rodentia, Caviidae. The record is from RefSeq and is a predicted model, not a curated record. The transcript has 3 exons.
AGGGUCUCACAUGUUAGUCAUAUAAGACAAAAUAAGAGACGUUGGUGUGCGUCUCGCACGCCUUGGAAGGAUUUCUGGGUAUUCUGUGGAAUUCUAGGUGUUGUCUACGUGAGCUAUUUGAUUCUGUAGAGGUCUAUUCCUCUAAUUAUCUUCGAGCUGUUUUUCAGUCUCUGUCAAUUAUAGAACUGCCUGUGUGAGGCAAAUGGUUCCUGUCUGUGGAAAUGCAGUUUGUCUCAUGAAAUUGAAUGCUUUUUGGAUCUCGACUAGGAAAUCUUUGCCUGCCUAAAGUUAAGAAGGUUCCUUGGCGAAGCAUGAACACACCGAUGAAGAGCACUGAUUUCUAGUUGUCCUGAAUUCUGUGCCAUCAAAUGAGCAGCAUGAAGAGGAAUCAACACAACAUUUCUAAGUUUGUGCAGCAAUUAGGAUGCUCAAGUAUAGCCAAAAUUUGAACAGCAAUUUACCCAAAGCCUUUUCAAUCUCCUCCUUUGGUGGCUUUGCUGCUAAACAUUUAUCCCGACUUAAGAAACAAAACAACCUUGAUAACUCAGUCCUCCUUACAGCAAGCCCAACCUGAAACUUUUUGCUGCCCAGGAAGUUUAUAUUCAUAAUCGAUGGAAAAGUUAUUGGAGUUCUAGCAAGUUAAUUCCAAAUCUACCACUUUCAAAGCAACCCAUGGUGAGAAUAAAGACACCAAGGCAUAUUUACAGUCAUGGGGAGCCAAGAAGUCCUAAGUCCUGCUGGAUUGAUGCUUAGCUGGAAUGAAGACUUCAACCCAGGGCCAAACUUGGGUUUUGUUCACUCAUGAAGAAGGAAGUGGCUCAAGGAGAAGUGAUUGUGAGAAUGGCAGGAAGUAUGAGAGUGCUGUGAGCUGGGCUAGGUGGGAAGCCUGAAAUUUCCUCUAUCACAGGCAGAAAGAAGCAUAUGCAGAAAGAGUAAUCUUGAGGUAGUAUCUAAUGUUUUGGGGUUGGCACUUCAGCUCUGAUGUGUAAUCUGUUGUGCACCAGGAAGUCGUAGUCUCUUAUUUUAAGGUUCCAUUCCUGCUGAUAGUGUGGAGCCUCUUCCUCAAUGUGUUUUUGGGAGUCACAGGGCAGGGAAGCAUAGAGCCACCUCCUUGCUUCAAAGACUACACAACAGCACCUUGGCCAGACUGAUUUACAUUGCUUCAAGCCAAUUGAAGGGAUAGGGCAAGGUCCUAGCCAGCUUUGUACAUAUCAAUACACAGAAAUAGAUCCAAGUGUAGCCAAAAUGGAGAUAACUGCUCUUCUUUCAAGGAGAAUCCUCUGGGUGGUCCUCCACACUUCCUGGUCCCCACUGGAUUCCUUCAUGCAUUUUGUGUUUUUUCUUUGCCUUGCAACAAGGAGUUAGUCAUCCCAAAGCAUAUCUGAAAUUUUUGCCAUCUGCCUCUUCUGGGCAGCUAGAUCAUGAACUGGUUAUGACUGGGCUCAGGUAUAAAUUAGCAUGAAGGAAGGGGCACUAUGGAAUAAACUGGGUCCCUUCCACUCCAAGAUUCCCAUGUUGAAACCCUAGUCUUCAUGAUGACUAUAUUUGGAGACAGGACCUUGAGGAGACAGUUAAGUUUAGGUGAAAUAACAAAGGUGGGACCUUAAUUCUAUAGAAUCAAUGUCCUCGCAAGAAGUGAUGCUGGGGACUCACUCUUGCUUACUCUUUUGAGUGCCUGUGCUCUCUGCCAUCUGAGGUGAGAGAGAAGGUGACAUCUACAAGCUAGGAUGAGACCGCUUACCAGGAACCAAACUGGCUGGUAUCCUGAUGUUGGACUUCCCAGUCUUCAGAAUUAUCUGAAAUAAACUUCCUUUGUUUCCACUGCCUAGUCCUUAGUUUGUCAGAGCUGACUAAUACGAGAUGGAAAGUUAACUGGGCAUUACUUCCCUGAUACAAUCUUUCAAAUUACAGGACCAACUGUGACAUCAUGAGACCUCUCUGAGGGCUUUGGAAAAGUUCCAAAGGUCUACUACUGUUGGAGCCCUGCUGGGCUUGACAUCAGAGGCUAGCUGUGCUCACAUCCACAGAUACAAUGUGCCCCGUGCUGGAGAGAGCGCAUGGCUGGUUUCUCCUUGUCCUGAAUGAGCAGCACGAAGUGGAAUCAACACUUCUGUCUGCGUGAGAAGUCAAACGGCUUCAUCUCGGCUUUGUACUGGGGUCCGCACAGCAGAAGAUGGGAAGGAUGUUGGGCACUAUGGAUUAUAUAACUGCUCUGGGCUGAAUGUUUGUGUCUCCUUGGGUUUAUAAGUUGAAGCUUUAACUCCCAAUGUGAUUGUAUUUAGAGGUAGGGCAUUUAGAGGGCAGUUAGUGUGAAAUGAAGUUGGGAUCUGCAUGAUGAGUGGGAUGAAUGCCUUUUUAAAACGAGGAGGAGACACACGAUCUCUUUUUCCUUUCCAUGUGCAAACAUCAAAGCAAAAUCAUGUGAGGAUACAAAUGGAGGAUGAGGACCACUGCCUUUAUCAGGAAGAGGAUCCUCCCCAGGGGCUGACGGUGCUAAUGUCAGACGUCCAUCUUCCAGAACUACGAGAGAGAAAUUCUCUGUCAAAUUCAUCCAGGCUGUGAUAACAGCUGGAACUGACUAAGACAACAGCAAUUUAUUUUUCACAGCAAAAUAGGAGACUGCUUUGACAAUGACAUAAUCCCUUCCAAAUUCUUAUUAGGUUUUAUUCUUUCCUCCAUUAGACAGCAGCUUUGAAAUGUCUCAGUAGCUGAGAAAUAACUUUCUUUCAGAGAAGAAAGUGGCUGAAUCAGUCACCUCCAGUUUUCUGUGAAGUAGCGCAGGAGCCAGAGGGGAUUGAGGACUUUUCUUCUCAAAGUGAGGAAAGGAUACCUGAACUGAUGACAGGUGACACAGAUUCAGCCUCUCCUAGGGUCAAAGGCAUAAAUUUGUCUCUUUUGUUCUCCUAUCUCCCACGUCCCCUGUGGGACCCUGCUUUCUGUGCCACACCCUUCCAAGUUUCUCCUCCACUGACGAUUCUCCUUAGGAAGAAUGAAUGAUGCUGGCCACGGAUGUGAACCACACAUGGGAUGGAACCCUACAUCCUUUGGUUCCAAACUUCGCCAUGGCCCCUCAUUCCUUAUCUACUAGCUCCGGUCACCGUUCCCAGACAUGAUGUGCUUAUUGGGGCUAUGAGAAUGUGUGCGAGGAGCCCCUUUUCUUCAUGAGCUUGUCCUCUACAGGAGCAGUUGGCCCAGUCACAGGGAAUCAUUUGUGAGGGGAGAAGGGAGGUGCCCUGGGAGUUCUUUUCCACGUGCUAGAGCCCCUCUAUCCUGUUAUUGAAGGCUGUGCCCCCACAUUUCACUCAGGCACAUUCUUAAAGUAUGGGGAAAAAAGGAAGAAGAAAAGGAAGGGAAAGAAAAAGGAGUGAAGCAAUGAAAAAAACCAGCUGGGUACAGACGCUAGUAAGUUUAGAUUCAUCUACUUAUUUAUAGUCUUUACACCAAAACUUUUUUUUUUAAACAGGCAUAGGCUUGCUUGAUUUUCAUAACAAUAUGGGAACUGAGGUUCAGAGCAGGUAGGUUCUGUAGUUAAUAAAUGUCAGUGUCCUCUCUGGAUUUCAGUCCUUCUGCCUAUGGAUGCAGUUUUUUUUUCUCUUUCUCUCCUGUAUUCCUCCAUUAAAUACAAAGGUAUAUUUCACCCUGCUCUUUUGGAACCCAAGUCAGACUUUCUAGAACAACUAAAGGUUUUAGCAAUUAUGAGAAUUCUCUGUUCAACCUUUACUAGAAUUUACCUGGUAGACUUUGAUUCAUCGACUAGAAAUAAUCAUCCUUCAAAUAACUCAAUUAAUUUUUAGUCCUGUGUAGUUUAUAAAAUACUUUCAUCCAUAAGAUACACAAGACGUGUAUCUCAGAAAUCCAAUGAGUGGCCUGAUUGUGCAACUAGAAAAUUAGGUAGGGUCAGGAUGAGGUCCUACAUUUUCUGAUUGAAGGUGAUACUUUCUCUGUUUCUGCAUUUCCUCCACAGUAUGUGCUCAGCCAGGUUAGCCUCUGCAGAGAGCGCAGUGAGGUCUCUAUUCCUAAGGAACAAAGUCUACUUAGGAAGCGAAGCCUUAUUUAGCCUGGAUAUAGACAAAAUUGUAACUCCAGUCUCUACAUGGCAGGUGACACGAUUUUCAGGCUGCAGUGUAACAGAAAACACUUUUUUUUCUUUUGAAAAGUGGCAUCAUUUCUCCACGUCUUAUAUUUAGGCUGGUUCUGCGAAUGUCUAUAGCUAAUAAAUUGCACCAGAAGAAAUGCUAAGCUUGGGCUUUUCUACUGUCUUCCUUGCAUCCUCUGGAUUGCCAUAAAAAUAAGGCGAUGCUAGCUGCAUAGAAAUAAGCAUCACUUAGAGGAAGCUGAGUGAUUCCUACUGAGACCAUUCAGAUCAGACAGCCCUCGACUGACCUGCCAUCUAACUACAGAUGCUCCAGUGAGCUUAGCUGAGAUCAUUCAUAGCCCACAUCAGCAGAACCAUUGUGCUGAUCAAGGCACAAACAGGUGAGAAAUGAUUCAUGAUUGUGCUUUAAGCCUCUGUCUUUGGGAAGUGGUUGGUAAUUCAUGAUUAUUGUGUUAAUAGAUAAAAAAUACACAGAUAUUAUUAUUUUCAUUGUUGGUAUGGUUGAUACAUUGAGAAGUUUAGAAGUUUAACUAAGAGACUCAGCAGGAAGCCAGGAUCCUUACUUUGUUAAUAUCCUCAUUCUGUGCAAGAGGAGGGCACAGAGAUUUUGUGAGUGCUACACCCGCCCUGGAAGAAGAGGGUGGGUGGGUGGCCUGUGCACACUACAAGGGAGGAAAAGAGGCUUGUGCUUCCUCCUUUUGCUCUGUCUGGUGCCUUGAAGUGUUGCCCCAGUGCCAUGCCAACCUAUCUUGGAGCCAGCUGAUUACAGACUGAAACCUCCACAAACAGUGAACUGAAUAAACCUUUCCUUCCUUCAUGUUGGGUCUUGUGUUGGGUGUUUUGUCCCAGCAAUGAAAGAAAAAUAACCAGGACAGUUGUCUUGAUGAAGAAACAGACUAUAAGAGGCUGAGUCAUUGCCAUGAUCAGACACUAGUAAAUCCACCCAGAAAGUUUGCCCCAGCAUCCAAAUUCUUGUCUGUUAUUUGUGAGACCUCACUGUAACACUCAAGCCCUCAGCUAGUUUGCAAGGAAUUUUAGUGAAGAAAGAGGUGAUUUUACUGACAGAGGCAAACCCAAAGGAUGGAACUCAAAUCCCAGGAUUCCUUUUGCUGAUCAAAUAAUAUGUUAUUAAAAACACUUUAAAAAAUUUAAGCUAUUAUGCUCACUUUGGCAGCAUAUAUACUAAAAAAAACCCUGUAAUCUGUCAGAGAAAAAAUUGCAUAAAUGUAAAAUAAGAAAGAAAAUAUCACUGAAGUCAAGGUCACAAACUAAGCCAUUGAAAGAAUUUUGGGUGUACCUUAUUAGCACUAAGUUAUGACUGAGUUUUGUGAGAGGACUAUAUGACAGCCACAUUAAUGCAAAUGCAAUUCCUUGUUCCUAUUUUUGCAAGUGAAAACAAAAUGCAGUUAUAUUAGUGGAAUUUGCUUAUUAAAGUAAACUAAAAUAUACCGCCAAGUGCCACCCCAUCUCCAUAUCUACUCCCUAUUUCUUGACAAAGAGCAAUUAUUCCCCACAGUAGCCUUGGAAUGUUUUAUUAAAAUAAGAAGGCAUAAUUUGAUAAGAAAGGGAAUGCCAAAAAAUAUGAAUUCUUACAGAUAUCGGAGAUUUGGAAGGUUCUGGAAAGCCUCAGGAUUGAUGUACAGCAGGUUGUUAGCCUUUUCAAUUCUACUAUAAAAGAGGAAAGUACAUGUGAGUACAAGGAAUGUUUUCACAUUUUUCAUGUUAUGAAAAGUACUUCAGUAAAACAUUAAUUUAUUCAUCUAUCCAUCCAUCUGUCCAUCCAUCAUUUGAACAAAUAUUGAGCAAACAUACAGCAUUUUUUCUUAUGCUAACUGUGCAUAUUAAUGUUAAUGCUGUGCCGUGAGAUGCUCCUCACUUGGGACCUGCCUACUAACGUCAUUUUUACCUGGAACAGAGUUGUCUUUAGCCAGUGCAGCUCUCCCAGAGUUGGAGGGCAAGGGAUGAGAGUAACACUUAGAACUGAAUUUUGUCUGUGCCAAAGACAAGAGAGGAGAUGAAAAGCAACCAAAGAGGAUGAAAAGAAGAUGAGAGAGAGUAGCAAAGAAGGUGGGACAUGGAGAAAUAGGUGGGAUGGAGAAAUAAAGGUGAAAUGGCAAUGAAAAAUGAAGAUUAGAAAAAAAAAAAAAACAGUAUCUCUUUUUUUUCUAACCGGGAAAUUCCAGCAGAGAGCAGCUAGGAAGGUCACGCUGUAGACCAAGGCUGCUUCCUCUCAGUGCAGGGGAAGUGGUGACUUCUGCCCUGUGUUGGCCUGUGAAGCAGUAUGUCAAAUCAAUUGUCUGGAUGUGAGUGUGUUCGCAGUUAAAUUCCAACAGAGACUGUGUCUUUUGCUCAUCUUGUUGGAUCAAUGUAUAUUUACAGAUACUUUUUUUAAUUGCUUGCUCUCCAUUUCGUUAAUUUCUAUGUUGCUGUAACCUGAAGGUAUCCUGAUCCAAGUAUCAGACAAUCAUUUUAAACAUAGCUGGUGUUACCUGAGGCUCUCCAUGCAAGGAGGAGAUGAAUGAGCUACUCUGGUUCCCCUCUUCCCUCUGAACUGGAUGGAGGGAGGCCUGCCUGGCUGUGUGUAAAGGGCUGGCUGCUCUUUGGUGUGUUUCCCUGAUAUACCCCUGCGCUUCUGAGACCCCAGCCAGUCUCUUUGCCCAACUAGGACAGAAGGAGACCAAGAGUGAAGAGGGAGUAAAGAAAGGAAAGAUCACGAGGAUAGUGACAAUGAAGAAAAACGAGGACCAGAUGGUGGGUGGGAGGGCGGAUGGAUGGGUGAGGAAACAGAGUCUGCCGAAGUGGGCAGACAGAGUGCUGUUCCUGAGCAGGCUCCUGGACACACGUGUGUGUACACAUACACUUACACCUACUGGUAUUUGAAAAAUGCUAAAAAAAUUCCUUAUUAAUAAAGAAGUUUUAAAAAGCCA